Molecule: non-coding RNA, 73 nt
Organism: Psammomys obesus (fat sand rat)
Lineage: Eukaryota; Metazoa; Chordata; Mammalia; Rodentia; Muridae
Source: the annotation of a RefSeq genome assembly
GCAUUGGUGGUAUAGUGGUGAGCAUGGCUGCCUUGAAAGCAGUUGACCCGGGUUCGAUUCCCGGGACAAUGCC